Molecule: ribosomal RNA, 475 nt
Filed under: uncultured bacterium
Lineage: Bacteria
Description: bacterial SSU rRNA
Rfam family: Bacterial small subunit ribosomal RNA
Source: RNAcentral
ACUCCUACGGGAGGCAGCAGUGGGGAAUAUUGCACAAUGGGCGCAAGCCUGAUGCAGCCAUGCCGCGUGUAUGAAGAAGGCCUUCGGGUUGUAAAGUACUUUCAGCAGUGAGGAAGGCGGGUACGGUUAAUAGCGUGCUCGUUUGACGUUAGCUGCAGAAGAAGCACCGGCUAACUCCGUGCCAGCAGCCGCGGUAAUACGGAGGGUGCGAGCGUUAAUCGGAAUUACUGGGCGUAAAGCGCAUGCAGGUGGUUUGUUAAGUCAGAUGUGAAAGCCCGGGGGCUCAACCUCGGAAUUGCAUUUGAAACUGGCAGACUAGAGUACUGUAGAGGGGGGUAGAAUUUCAGGUGUAGCGGUGAAAUGCGUAGAGAUCUGAAGGAAUACCGGUGGCGAAGGCGGCCCCCUGGACAGAUACUGACACUCAGAUGCGAAAGCGUGGGGAGCAAACAGGAUUAGAUACCCUGGUAGGACAGAG